Juglans regia (Persian walnut) is the source of this 139-nucleotide small nucleolar RNA. RefSeq annotates it as small nucleolar RNA Z247. Lineage: Eukaryota; Viridiplantae; Streptophyta; Magnoliopsida; Fagales; Juglandaceae. The record is from RefSeq and is a predicted model, not a curated record. The transcript has a single exon.
CCCCUCUAUGAUGAUGUCAUCAUCUCUUACAUCCUCGCCGAUUUGGGAACUAAUUAUGAGUCGCUGGUUUCCACUUUUACUGCAGGGCCAGAUCCUCUUAAACUUAAAGAUGUCUAUUCUCUUCUACUGACAAGUGAGU